Molecule: transfer RNA, 76 nt
Filed under: Halorhabdus tiamatea
Lineage: Archaea; Methanobacteriati; Methanobacteriota; Halobacteria; Halobacteriales; Haloarculaceae
Also listed under: 4 other names
Rfam family: tRNA
About the family: Transfer RNA (tRNA) molecules are approximately 80 nucleotides in length. Their secondary structure includes four short double-helical elements and three loops (D, anti-codon, and T loops). Further hydrogen bonds mediate the characteristic L-shaped molecular structure. tRNAs have two regions of fundamental functional importance: the anti-codon, which is responsible for specific mRNA codon recognition, and the 3' end, to which the tRNAs corresponding amino acid is attached (by aminoacyl-tRNA synthetases). tRNAs cope with the degeneracy of the genetic code in two manners: having more than one tRNA (with a specific anti-codon) for a particular amino acid; and 'wobble' base-pairing, i.e. permitting non-standard base-pairing at the 3rd anti-codon position.
Source: RNAcentral
GGGCACGUAGCUCAGUCCGGACAGAGCGUCGGACUUCUAAUCCGACGGUUCGUGGGUUCGAAUCCCACCGUGCCCG